RNAcentral lists this non-coding RNA (243 nucleotides) under Pan troglodytes (chimpanzee). The record is from RNAcentral. Lineage: Eukaryota; Metazoa; Chordata; Mammalia; Primates; Hominidae.
UGUUUCUUUAUUGAGUCCCUACUACCUCUACGGAUAUUCUGGGGGCAAUUAAAGAAAAUCGCCGCUUCCUAGACAGCACAUAUUUCCCAUAGAAAUGUGGAAUGUAAGAAAGGCACAUAAAGCAAUCCAAGUUGCCUACAGAUAUCCACAGCCUACUUCAGUCCCAGUAAUGCUCUUUUAACCUGGCUAUAUGGAGAGUUGACAGAAAAUACAGGAUCAUCAAUAAAUGAUACAGUAAAUACA